Long non-coding RNA from Cucurbita maxima (winter squash), 321 nucleotides. RefSeq lists it as uncharacterized. NCBI's taxonomy places the organism in Eukaryota, Viridiplantae, Streptophyta, Magnoliopsida, Cucurbitales, Cucurbitaceae. The transcript has 3 exons. The record is from RefSeq and is a predicted model, not a curated record.
AAAAGAUUGAAUCUUGACACAUUGAGUUUUCUAGAUUGUGCCUACUAACAUCGAAUGGUAUACAAAAAGAUGGGAGGAAAGAAUUCGAUUAGAAGUUCAUCUCAAGCGAAUGUUGCAUUUAUGUCAUGAUUAGCGAUCAGCAGGUGCUCAUGUCUUUCGUAGUAGCAAUUUGGAUUACCCGAAUCAUGAUGGUCUUGACUCGUGAGUUUCGCUUUGAGAAAUUGCUUCUGGACUCUGUAACCAUAUAAACUCCCAACUGUUCCCAAUCCUUCUGACUAGAAAUUGCAGAUAUUUUGAUGUUAUAUUUUUCAAAAUUUUAAA